Chlorocebus sabaeus (green monkey) is the source of this 855-nucleotide non-coding RNA. The record is from RefSeq and is a predicted model, not a curated record. Lineage: Eukaryota; Metazoa; Chordata; Mammalia; Primates; Cercopithecidae.
UGCUGGAUGCCCUCCAAAGUUAAAAUUAAUAGUAAUGAUUACAAGACAAAUCACCAGCCAAGUGGUAGGGAAACGUUCUGUGCAGGGCAACCUGGGGCACGUGGGUGCUUAGGAAUGGCACUGCCCAGGUGUGAGAGAAAAAGCUGCACUCUCAAUUCUAUGUUGUUACAGGGGAGGCCACCAGGUGCUGUGGAGGCACCAUGUGAUCUGGCAUCUGCUCCGGCCUCUGCUGCCUACCUGCAGUGUGACCUUGGGAAGUCCUCCAAAAGGCUCCAAGUCUCUGUAAACAACUUGCACAAGCUUUGUGAAGAUACAAGGAGCUACAGGUCUCCAGUGGCUUUGAAGUCAGCCUUCAGUCUGAACACCACUCUACUUGCCACUUCUUUGCUGGAUCAUCUUGGGCAACUUGCUGUAACUUUCCUGAGCCCAUGUCCUCGUCUAUAAAACGGGGAGAAGUCCCAAUUUACAGAGCUUGUGAAGAGCCAAUGAAGUGCUUCCAACUGUCUACUCUGCCAGUGCUUCUGCAGCUCCAGCUCACCCCCACCACAUCAGGAGGUCAGCAGGAAAGUGGGGUGGCUCAGAGGCCACAUUUUCUGCUGAGGUUUGCAUCCGAGCCCAGAUGGCAUCACACAGCCUGGAAGUCAGGACAGAUGUGACAAGGAGAUGGACUUUGUAGCCAACUCAAAUUCUGGCACUAUCGCAUAUUCGCUGUGUGACCUUGGGGCAAGUCAUCAACCACUCUGAGUUUCAAUGCCCUCAUCUGUAAAAUAAGGAUGAUAAUAACAGUUCCCAUAAUACAUCGCUAUUAUUGUGAGGGCUAAAUGAGGUAAUAAAGUGCUAAGCACGUACAGCAUA